CCCUGGUUAGCUCAGUUGGUAGAGCACUCCACCUGUAAUGGAGAGGUCCCGGGUUCGAUGCCCGGACCAGGCG
RNAcentral lists this transfer RNA (73 nucleotides) under Ixodes scapularis (black-legged tick). It matches the Rfam family "tRNA". Rfam says of the family: Transfer RNA (tRNA) molecules are approximately 80 nucleotides in length. Their secondary structure includes four short double-helical elements and three loops (D, anti-codon, and T loops). Further hydrogen bonds mediate the characteristic L-shaped molecular structure. tRNAs have two regions of fundamental functional importance: the anti-codon, which is responsible for specific mRNA codon recognition, and the 3' end, to which the tRNAs corresponding amino acid is attached (by aminoacyl-tRNA synthetases). tRNAs cope with the degeneracy of the genetic code in two manners: having more than one tRNA (with a specific anti-codon) for a particular amino acid; and 'wobble' base-pairing, i.e. permitting non-standard base-pairing at the 3rd anti-codon position. The record is from Rfam by way of RNAcentral. Lineage: Eukaryota; Metazoa; Arthropoda; Arachnida; Ixodida; Ixodidae.